CCUACGGGAGGCUGCAGUGAGGAAUAUUGGUCAAUGGGCGUAAGCCUGAACCAGCCAAGUCGCGUGAGGGAUGAAGGUUCUAUGGAUCGUAAACCUCUUUUAUAAGGGAAUAAAGUGCGGGACGUGUCACGUUUUGUAUGUACCUUAUGAAUAAGGAACGGCUAAAUCCGUGCCAGCAGCCGCGGUAAUACGGAGGAUCCGAGCGUUAUCCGGAUUUAUUGGGUUUAAAGGGUGCGUAGGCGGUCUUUUAAGUCAACGGUGAAAGUCGGUGGCUCAACCAUAGAAUUGCCGUUGAAACUGGGGUGCGUGAGUAUGUUUGAGGCAGGCGGAAUGCGUGGGGUAGCGGUGAAAUGCUU
RNAcentral lists this ribosomal RNA (356 nucleotides) under uncultured bacterium. Its description in RNAcentral is "partial 16S ribosomal RNA". It matches the Rfam family "Bacterial small subunit ribosomal RNA", at positions 338 to 691 of the family's 1533-position model. The record is from RNAcentral.